Molecule: small nucleolar RNA, 73 nt
Organism: Capsicum annuum
Lineage: Eukaryota; Viridiplantae; Streptophyta; Magnoliopsida; Solanales; Solanaceae
Product: small nucleolar RNA snoR60
Exons: 1
Source: RefSeq, a predicted model, not a curated record
AAGCAAAUGAUGAGUUACUCGGAUUCCCCUUCUUAGACAUCAUGGGUGAUGCAAAAACCGAGUUUCUGAUACA